Molecule: small RNA, 126 nt
Filed under: Marmota monax (woodchuck)
Lineage: Eukaryota; Metazoa; Chordata; Mammalia; Rodentia; Sciuridae
Source: RNAcentral
GCUGGGCGUGGUGGCGCAUGCCUGUAAUCCCAGCAGCUCAGGAGCUGAGGCAGGAGGAUCCUGAGUUCAAAGCAAACCUCAGCAACCAAGUGAGGGACUAAGCAACUCAGUGAGAACCUGUGUCUA